RNAcentral lists this ribosomal RNA (1208 nucleotides) under bacterium. RNAcentral describes it as "partial 23S ribosomal RNA". It matches the Rfam family "Bacterial large subunit ribosomal RNA", at positions 1 to 1211 of the family's 2925-position model. The record is from RNAcentral.
GAUCAAGCUACUAAGGGCAAGCGGUGGAUGCCUUGGUGCCAAUAGGCGAUGAAGGACGUAGCAAGUUGCGAUAAGCCACGGGGAGCUGCAAGCAAGCGUUAAUCCGUGGAUUUCCGAAUGGGACAACCCAUCCAUUGUAACAGGUGGAUAUUGUUGGAUGAAUUCAUAGUCCAACAAGGCGAUACGGGGCGAAGUGAAACAUCUCAGUAACCCCAGGAAAAGAAAAUGAAAUGAUUCCGUAAGUAGUGGCGAGCGAAAGCGGAGAAGUCUAAACCGGAGGAACUUGUUUUUCCGGUGUUGAGGGACCUCGAUGUGGCAGGUGGAGAGCGAGCGUAACGAUUUGGAAAAAUCGGCCAUAGACCGUGACAGCCGGGUGCGCGAAGUUUGAAGCCGCCUAGAGGUAUCCCAAGUAAUGCGGUGCACGUGAAACUCUGCAUGAAUCCGUCCCGACCACGGGAUAAGACUAAAUACUAAUUGGAAACCGAUAGUGAACAAGUACCGCGAGGGAAAGGUGAAAAGAACCCCUGCUAGGGGAGUAAAAAGAUCCUGAAACUGCUUGCCUACAAGGUGUAGGAGCUCCGCAAGGAGUGACUGCCUGCCUUUUGCAUAAUGAGUCUGCGAGUUAUUGUCAGUGGCAAGCCUAAGUCCUUAUGGGAUGGAGGCGAAGCGAAAGCGAGUACGAAUAGUGCGCCUAGUUGCUGGCAAUAGACCCGAAGCGGAGGUGAUCUACUUUUGAGCAGGUUGAAACUGUGGUAACACACAGUGGAGGACCGAACUCGUGAAUGUUGAAAAAUUCUGAGAUGACUUGAGAGUAGGAGCGAAAGACUAAUCAAACCCCGUGAUAGCUGGUUCUCUCCGAAAUCGCUUGAGGGCGAGCGUCGAGUAAGUAAACCGUGGAGGUAGAGCACUGGAUGGCUUAGAGUCCACACCAGGAUAUCAAAACCAAUCAAACUCCGAAUACCGUGGAUCCCAUUACUACAGCAUUCAGGCGGCGGGCGAUAAGGUUCGUCGCCGAGAGGGCAACAGCCCAGACCAUCAGCUAAGGUGCCAAAAUACCGUUGAGUGGAAAGGAUGUGACGUUGCAUAGACAGUGAGGAUGUUGGCUUAGAGGCAGCCACCAUUUAAACAGUGCGUAAUAGCUGACUCAUCGAGUGAUUUUGCGCCGAAAAUGAUUGGCGAUAAGCAAUAUACCGAAGCUCUGGAUGCUA